AUGCACGCUGGCGGCGUGCCUAAUACAUGCAAGUCGAGCGAACAGACGAGGAGCUUGCUCCUCUGACGUUAGCGGCGGACGGGUGAGUAACACGUGGAUAACCUACCUAUAAGACUGGGAUAACUUCGGGAAACCGGAGCUAAUACCGGAUAAUAUAUUGAACCGCAUGGUUCAAUAGUGAAAGACGGUUUUGCUGUCACUUAUAGAUGGAUCCACGCCGCAUUAGCUAGUUGGUAAGGUAACGGCUUACCAAGGCAACGAUGCGUAGCCGACCUGAGAGGGUGAUCGGCCACACUGGAACUGAGACACGGUCCAGACUCCUACGGGAGGCAGCAGUAGGGAAUCUUCCGCAAUGGGCGAAAGCUUGACGGAGCAACGCCGCGUGAGUGAUGAAGGUCUUCGGAUCGUAAAACUCUGUUAUUAGGGAAGAACAAAUGUGUAAGUAACUAUGCACGUCUUGACGGUACCUAAUCAGAAAGCCACGGCUAACUACGUG
Molecule: ribosomal RNA, 496 nt
Filed under: uncultured bacterium
Lineage: Bacteria
Description: partial 16S ribosomal RNA
Rfam family: Bacterial small subunit ribosomal RNA
Source: RNAcentral